Molecule: long non-coding RNA, 1068 nt
Filed under: Vulpes vulpes (red fox)
Lineage: Eukaryota; Metazoa; Chordata; Mammalia; Carnivora; Canidae
Description: lncRNA (ENSVVUG00000027053.1)
Source: RNAcentral
UGAGGUCAUGGGUAGAUGAGAGUUUGAGCGGGACACUGUUCAACUCAGUACAGGGGGCAAGAAACAGGGGUUCAGGCAGGUAAUCCUCUGACACUCAACGUGACCCUGGGACCUGUGCGUGGGGACUGGAGUCAGAAACAUCGUUUUAGGGCUUCUCAUCGCUCCCAUCCUUUAAUCUAAGACUUAGCAGGUGAGGGAUGAUGUUCCCAGGAAGCUGAUCCGUUUGGACAGAACAGAGGGACCUGAGACUAAGCCAUCAUGAUGCUCCUUAGUGAACUCUGGGGCAGUCACCGAGCAUCGGCAAAGGCAGAGGUGGAAGCGUGUUUUAGGGGCAGUGCACAGAAGAGACCCCAGUGAAAGGAGUCGGCUUCACAACCCUGCUGCUCUGCUCUCUCUAAUUAGCUGGGUGACCAUGGGCAAAUCACUUAAUCUUCCCGAGACCUGGAUUCAUCAUCUGCAAAAUGUGGGCAGCGACACCAGCUGCUCUCCCGGCCCCAAGUCACGGUGCUCGUGUGAGGCAAAAGGCAAAAUCAGCUGAAUUUUACUAUGAAGAAUACCAGUACUUCCCUGACCUGAUGAAGAAUUUACUGUUUUUCAUUCUUUUUUUCUUUACUGAGGUUGCCACCCAGACCUGCUGGAGGAGACUCUGAGCCUCCCUGGAGAGUUUGCACUUGUGCUGUGUGCAGUGACCAGUGAAAUCUCAAUUAGCUGCUGAGGCUUUGGGAGGCAGAUGGCCUGUGGAUCAUCCAUCUCAGGAGAUCCAGGUCAUCCUGAGUGACCCUGAAUGCUGUGGUCUGGAGGGAGGGUGGUGCCUCCUUCUUCAACCUGGAUUCAGAAGGGAUACCAAAGAGCUCCUGCAGUCUCUCUGGAGGCUGUGGUUUGACUGUCUGUCCCUGUCUCCAACUGUACCACCCACAGGGAAAACCUUGUUCCUUUGUCCACUCAUGUGGCACACACCAGGGUCAUGAUUGUGGGGCUAGGACCCACACAGACACCAGAAUGAAGCAUGGUCCCCUCCCUCACAGGACCUCAGGCUUCUCAGAGCUAGAUGUGGGGACCCACGUGGGA